AGUCGAGCGGACCGAAGGGAGCUUGCUCCUUUAGGUUAGCGGCGGACGGGUGAGUAACACGUGGGCAACCUGCCCUGCAGACUGGGAUAACUUCGGGAAACCGGAGCUAAUACCGGAUAACACCGAAAACCGCAUGGUUUUCGGUUGAAAGGCGGCUUUUAGCUGUCACUGCAGGAUGGGCCCGCGGCGCAUUAGCUAGUUGGUGAGGUAACGGCUCACCAAGGCGACGAUGCGUAGCCGACCUGAGAGGGUGACCGGCCACACUGGGACUGAGACACGGCCCAGACUCCUACGGGAGGCAGCAGUAGGGAAUCUUCCGCAAUGGACGAAAGUCUGACGGAGCAACGCCGCGUGAGCGAAGAAGGUCUUCGGAUCGUAAAGCUCUGUUGUCAGGGAAGAACAAGUACCGUUCGAACAGGGCGGUACCUUGACGGUACCUGACGAGGAAGCCACGGCUAACUACGUGCCAGCAGCCGCGGUAAUACGUAGGUGGCAAGCGUUGUCCGGAAUUAUUGGGCGUAAAGCGCGCGCAGGCGGUUCCUUAAGUCUGAUGUGAAAUCUCGCGGCUCAACCGCGAGCGGCCAUUGGAAACUGGGGAACUUGAGUGCAGGAGAGGGGAGCGGAAUUCCACG
Molecule: ribosomal RNA, 632 nt
Filed under: Aeribacillus pallidus
Lineage: Bacteria; Bacillati; Bacillota; Bacilli; Caryophanales; Bacillaceae
Description: bacterial SSU rRNA
Rfam family: Bacterial small subunit ribosomal RNA
Source: RNAcentral